AACCCAUAGUGAGGGCACCUUCUCAAUAAAUCCUUUUAUCUCUCUCAUGCAUCAUAUAAUGUUUCUAAAUCGAUCUGGGUAAAUGAGGAGAUUCAUUCCUCAACUU
RNAcentral lists this small nucleolar RNA (106 nucleotides) under Gossypium barbadense (sea-island cotton). RNAcentral's name for it is "Plant small nucleolar RNA R71". It matches the Rfam family "Plant small nucleolar RNA R71". Rfam says of the family: R71 is a member of the C/D box family of snoRNAs containing the C (UGAUGA) and D (CUGA) box motifs. Multiple nearly identical copies of this snoRNA have been identified in Arabidopsis, and it is thought to function as a 2'-O-ribose methylation guide for 18S ribosomal RNA. RNAcentral also lists the same sequence under 1 other name. The record is from Rfam by way of RNAcentral. Lineage: Eukaryota; Viridiplantae; Streptophyta; Magnoliopsida; Malvales; Malvaceae.